This 497-nucleotide ribosomal RNA is filed under the name uncultured bacterium. RNAcentral describes it as "partial 16S ribosomal RNA". It matches the Rfam family "Bacterial small subunit ribosomal RNA", at positions 28 to 507 of the family's 1533-position model. The record is from RNAcentral.
GAUGAACGCUGGCGGCGUGCCUAAUACAUGCAAGUCGAGCGAACGGACGAGAAUCUUGCUUCUCUGAUGUUAGCGGCGGACGGGUGAGUAACACGUGGAUAACCUACCUAUAAGACUGGGAUCACUUCGGGAAACCGGAGCUAAUCCCGGAUAAUAUUUUGAACCGCAUUGUUCAAUAGUGAAAGACGGUCUUGCGGUAACUUAUAGAUGGAUCCGGGCUUCAUUAGCUAGUUGGUAAGGUAACGGCUUACCAAGGCAACGAUGCAUAACCGACCUGAGAGGGGGAUCGGCCACACUGGAACUGAGACACGGUCCAGACUCCUACGGGAGGCAGCAGUAGGGAAUCGUCCGCAAUGGGCGGAAGCCUGACGGAGCAACGCCGCGUGAGUGAUGAAGGUCUUCGGAUCGUAAAACUCUGUUAUUAGGGAAGAACAUAUGUGUAAGUAACUGUGCACAGCUUGACGGUACCUAAUCAGAAAGCCACGGCUAACUACGUG